This 252-nucleotide ribosomal RNA is filed under the name uncultured bacterium. RNAcentral describes it as "partial 16S ribosomal RNA". It matches the Rfam family "Bacterial small subunit ribosomal RNA", at positions 524 to 776 of the family's 1533-position model. The record is from RNAcentral.
UACGUAGGGGGCUAGCGUUAUCCGGAUUUAUUGGGUUUAAAGGGUGCGUAGGCGGACUGUCAAGUCAGCGGUAAAAUUGAGAGGCUCAACCUCUUCCCGCCGUUGAAACUGGUGGUCUUGAGUGGAUGAGAAGUACGCGGAAUGCGUGGUGUAGCGGUGAAAUGCAUAGAUAUCACGCAGAACUCCGAUUGCGAAGGCAGCGUACCGGCAUCCAACUGACGCUGAGGCACGAAAGCGUGGGGAUCAAACAGG